GAUGAACGCUGGCGGCGUGCCUAAUACAUGCAAGUCGAGCGAACAGACGAGGAGCUUGCUCCCCUGACGUUAGCGGCGGACGGGCGAGUAACACGUGGAUAACCUACCUAUAAGACUGGGAUAACUUCGGGAAACCGGAGCUAAUACCGGAUAAUAUAUUGUACCGCAUGGUUCAAUAGUGAAAGACGGUUUUGCUGUCACUUAUAGAUGGAUCCGCGCCGCAUUAGCUAGUUGGUAAGGUAACGGCUUACCAAGGCAACGAUGCGUAGCCGACCUGAGAGGGUGAUCGGCCACACUGGAACUGAGACACGGUCCAGACUCCUACGGGAGGCAGCAGUAGGGAAUCUUCGGCAAUGGGCGAAAGCCUGACGGAGCAACGCCGCGUGAGUGAUGAAGGUCUUCGGAUCGUAAAACUCUGUUAUUAGGGAAGAAAAAAUGUGUAAGUAACUAUGCACGUCUUGACGGUACCUAAUCAGAAAGCCACGGCUAACUACGUG
RNAcentral lists this ribosomal RNA (497 nucleotides) under uncultured bacterium. RNAcentral's name for it is "partial 16S ribosomal RNA". It matches the Rfam family "Bacterial small subunit ribosomal RNA", at positions 28 to 507 of the family's 1533-position model. The record is from RNAcentral.